GAUGAACGCUGGCGGCGUGCCUAAUACAUGCAAGUCGAGCGAACGGACGAGAAGCUUGCUUCUCUGAUGUUAGCGGCGGACGGGUGAGUAACACGUGGAUAACCUACCUAUAAGACUGGGAUAACUUCGGGAAACCGGAGCUAAUACCGGAUGAUAUUUUGAACCGCAUGGGUCAAAAGUGAAAGACGGUCUUGCUGUCACUUAUCGAUGGAUCCGCGCUGCAUUAGCUAGUUGGUAAGGUCACGGCUUACCAAGGCAACGAUGCAUAGCCGACCUGAGAGGGUGAUCGGCCACACUGGAACUGAGACACGGUCCAGACUCCUACGGGAGGCAGCAGUAGGGAAUCGGCCGCAACGGGCGAAAGCCUGACGGAGCAACGCCGCGUGAGUGACGAAGGUCUUCGGAUCGUAAAACUCUGUUAUUAGGGAAGAACAUAUGUGUAAGUAACUGUGCACAUAGUGACGGUACCUAAUCAGAAAGCAACGGCUAACUACGUG
This 497-nucleotide ribosomal RNA is filed under the name uncultured bacterium. RNAcentral describes it as "partial 16S ribosomal RNA". It matches the Rfam family "Bacterial small subunit ribosomal RNA", at positions 28 to 507 of the family's 1533-position model. The record is from RNAcentral.